RNAcentral lists this ribosomal RNA (788 nucleotides) under uncultured Pseudomonadota bacterium. RNAcentral describes it as "bacterial SSU rRNA". It matches the Rfam family "Bacterial small subunit ribosomal RNA", at positions 60 to 873 of the family's 1533-position model. Lineage: Bacteria; Pseudomonadati; Pseudomonadota. The record is from RNAcentral.
AGUCGAGCGGCAGCGCGAGUAGUUUACUACUUGGCGGCGAGCGGCGGACGGCUGAGUAACGCGUGAGAACACACCCCAAAGUGAGGAAUAACUGCCCGAAAGGGUAGCUAAUGCCGCAUAUGAUCUUCGGAUUAAAGGAUUUAUCCGCUUUGGGAGUGGCUUGCGUACGAUUAGGUAGUUGGUGAGGUAAAGGCUCACCAAGCCCACGAUCGUUAACUGGUUUGAGAGGAUGACCAGUCAGACUGGAACUGAGACACGGUCCAGACUCCUACGGGAGGCAGCAGUGAGGAAUCUUCCACAAUGGACGAAAGUCUGAUGGAGCAACUCCGCGUGCAGGAUGAAGGCCUUCGGGUUGUAAACUGCUUUUAUGAGUGAAGAAUAUGACGGUAACUCAUGAAUAAGGGUCGGCUAACUACGUGCCAGCAGCCGCGGUCAUACGUAGGACCCAAGCGUUAUCCGGAGUGACUGGGCGUAAAGAGUUGCGUAGGUGGUUUGUUAAGCGAAUAGUGAAAUCUGACGGCUCAACCGUACAGACUGUUAUUCGAACUGGCAAACUCGAGAAUGGUAGAGGUAACUGGAAUUUCUGAAGUAGGGGUAAUACCCGUAGAUAUCAGAAGGAACACCAAUGGCGUAGGCAGGUUACUGGACCAUUUCUGACACUGAGGCACGAAAGCGUGGGGAGCGAACCGGAUUAGAUACCCGGGUAGUCCACGCCGUAAACGAUGGAUACUAGCUGUUGGAGGUAUCGACCCCUUCAGUAGCGAAGCUAACGCGUUAAGUAUCCCGCC